CUCUGCGGCCUUUGGUGUAUGCGCCCAAGGCGCCAUAGGCCAGGUGGCGCAGAAACGGGGCAGGAAGAUGGAAAUGGGAUGAAGGAGCGUCGCCGGCAUGCUCGGCCCCGAGCAGCAUCGCCGGUGCAGCUUUCCACUCGCGACGGGGCUCUGUAGCGCCAGAGGUGCCCGUACAGCGUCACGUCACGCGCGCGCCGGCCUCGGCACUCUCCACCUGAAGUGCGUCCGGACACCCGCCUGCCGGCCCGGCGCAGCGGGCCAGGACCAGGCUCCCCGGCAAGGAAGGAGGUGCCCCAAGACCAGAGACGCGGACACCCUUGCCUCGGGUCACCCGUGCGGGUGGCUGGCGGGACAUAGGCUGCUCGUACGGCGUAAGCUGCUUCUGGUGCGAUGCAAGGAGUUGUCACCUUGGAUCUCUCGUGGGGACAGAGACCGGUGCGUCUUCACAGAAGGUGCUCGCUGGAUUCCGCUUCUGGGUGCAACCAUAUCAAAAGUAGAGAAACACUGAAGAAAGUCGAGGAACCAUGUACGAUGGGGCUGAAAGAAACCUUGAGACAUCAUCCCCCCGAGAAGGAGAAGAGCAACUUUAUCAAGAGGGAGAAGGAAAGAUUAAAACUUCAAUACAUAGAAACUGGAUAAACGAAGGAUAAUCAAGUUUGAGAGGAAGAAGCCCUUUUCAGAUAUCGGCCACCUGUUACUGGAGCUGAGAGAGGAGGAACAUGUGGUUUGACAGAUAUGCUUCCCUGACGAGAAAAGGCAAGCUGUUUAGUGAAUGAAGAUUUCUUCAUUUUGCAAGAGUCGCAUGUUUAUGUUUGACUUGCUCCUCUGUUUCUGUGCAAGAAAAAGUCAAACUGGCCAGCUAGGAGAAAUGAAUCCCAAGCUCACUCAAGGAGCAGAUAAGUACCUCUGGUUUUGCUGGGUGCUGGCGAUACAGCAUACUUUCUGCUCUGUGUAGCAGAGUGGUGUUGGUGUUCCCUCAUCAAGGCCCC
Long non-coding RNA from Harpia harpyja (harpy eagle), 989 nucleotides. RefSeq lists it as uncharacterized. The transcript has 3 exons. Lineage: Eukaryota; Metazoa; Chordata; Aves; Accipitriformes; Accipitridae. The record is from RefSeq and is a predicted model, not a curated record.